GACGAACGCUGGCGGCGUGCUUAACACAUGCAAGUCGAACGAUGAACCCGGAGCUUGCUCCGGUGGAUUAGUGGCGAACAGGUGAGUAACACGUGAGUAACCUGCCCUUGACUCUGGGAUAACUGCGGGAAACUGUAGCUAAUACCGGAUACGACCCUCGGCGGCAUCGCCAGGGGGUGGAAAGAAUUUCGGUCAAGGAUGGACCCGCGGCCUAUCAGCUAGUUGGUGAGGUAACGGCUCACCAAGGCGACGACGGGUAGCCGGCCUGAGAGGGUGGCCGGCCACACUGGGACGGAGACACGGCCCAGACUCCUACGGGAGGCAGCAGUGGGGAAUAUUGCACAAUGGGCGCAAGCCUGAUGCAGGAGCGCCGCGUGAGGGAUGACGGCCUUCGGGUUGUAAACCUCUUUUCGUAGGGAAGAAGCGAAAGUGACGGUACCUGCAGAAAAAGCACCGGCUAACUACGUGCCAGCCGCCGCCGUAA
RNAcentral lists this ribosomal RNA (484 nucleotides) under uncultured bacterium. RNAcentral describes it as "partial 16S ribosomal RNA". It matches the Rfam family "Bacterial small subunit ribosomal RNA", at positions 28 to 523 of the family's 1533-position model. The record is from RNAcentral.